Molecule: long non-coding RNA, 1194 nt
Organism: Chinchilla lanigera (long-tailed chinchilla)
Lineage: Eukaryota; Metazoa; Chordata; Mammalia; Rodentia; Chinchillidae
Exons: 3
Source: RefSeq, a predicted model, not a curated record
ACUGUUUCGGGGUCCCAGACUCCUUGGGUACCAUCCAGGUCAUUCAUGUUUCGAUGAGAUAUACACAGAUGCUGAAGUGCUACCAAGACCGGAAGAGCCAGGACCAGCUUCAUCCUUUGGAAUGCUCUGCAGGGAAGAGCGCGGGUUCAGAACUUCGGCAACUGCAGAAACUUCUAUGCCACAAAGCCGAUUUUUUUAAACAUUGAAGAUUCAUGCAGACAGCCAGGAGCACCUUGACACAGAGCGACAGCCUGCAAGGCUUCGGGGUCGUCUUCAAGGAAAGAGAAACUCAACCACUGUUUAAGUUGCAGGAGAAAAUAUUUCAUAAACAGAGACCGUUUGGUGAGACAUCAGUUUGAAAAGGUUCACAAUUCAACCAAACAAGAAAAACCUCGCAUUUCCUCCGGAGGCUAAACUCCUCCUGAGUUACUUCUUUCAGGAGCAAGUGUUGUAAUUCAGAUUGUCAAUUUUAAAAAUGUGUUAGGAAUUCAGAGAAACAUAUUUUGCCCUUGUCGCUGUAGUUGUUGCCUGCCCCCUGCCAUGGUUUUGCAGGGAAAGUGGGGGUGAGGAGGUUCAUAAAACACUGUAUAUUCCUGGAAGAAAAUUGGAUGAGAAGAUUUCUAUGUAGGCAGGUGCCUGGGUAGGAUGAUGCCCUGAGAUUGUCUUUGUCUGUGUCACAGCCUCUAAAACUCUCUGUGGCAUCUCAGCGCUUGUGUGCGUGUGUGUCUGGGUGUGCUUCCUUCUCAUCCCAUGCCUUGGGAAUCUUGAUUUAUUCACUCUUAUUUAAUGUAAGAAUGAUAGAGGUAAUUACUGAAAGUUCCUGGGGUACCAGGAUGGAGCUAAAUGAAAGAUGGCUUCAGAGGCAGCCAUCUGCUCCUGGGGAGCAGGACAGGCUGCAGCCGAGUUACAGCCCCCGGGACCAGGCUGGUGAUUUUCUCUCCGUGGAAAAACAGCAUUGGUUGUGCAGGGUCACAGAGAGAGCCUGGAGGGGGAAAUAACAUCCCUCUCUUCACAAGGGGAGAGGGGCAGGCUGUGGCAGCUUUGCCUGCCAGAGCUGGCGAUGGGCCUUGGAAUCAAGAGGCCAUUGAUGUGAAGGCAGAUUCAGAUCCUAGUUUUGUAACUCGCACAUUUAUUAACUUUGAGAAACUUGUAUGACUUCUUUUUGUCUUAUUUUAGAUGCAAAAAUAAAUAAAU